GCCGGGUUAGCUCAGUUGGUAGAGCAGCGCAUUCGUAAUGCGAAGGUCGGAGGUUCGACUCCUCUACCCGGCACCA
RNAcentral lists this transfer RNA (76 nucleotides) under Betaproteobacteria bacterium RIFCSPLOWO2_12_FULL_64_23. RNAcentral describes it as "tRNA-Thr". It matches the Rfam family "tRNA". From Rfam's summary of the family: Transfer RNA (tRNA) molecules are approximately 80 nucleotides in length. RNAcentral also lists the same sequence under 7 other names. The record is from RNAcentral. Lineage: Bacteria; Pseudomonadati; Pseudomonadota; Betaproteobacteria.